CCUACGGGAGGCAGCAGUGAGGGAUAUUGGUCAAUGGACGAGAGUCUGAACCAGCCAAGUAGCGUGAAGGAUGACUGCCCUAUGGGUUGUAAACUUCUUUUAUAUGGGAAUAAAAUGUUCCACGUGUGGGAUUUUGUAUGUACCAUAUGAAUAAGGAUCGGCUAACUCCGUGCCAGCAGCCGCGGUAAUACGGAGGAUCCGAGCGUUAUCCGGAUUUAUUGGGUUUAAAGGGAGCGUAGGUGGAUUGUUAAGUCAGUUGUGAAAGUUUGCGGCUCAACCGUAAAAUUGCAGUUGAAACUGGCAGUCUUGAGUACAGUAGAGGUGGGCGGAAUUCGUGGUGUAGCGGUGAAAUGCUUAGAUAUCACAAAGAACUCCGAUUGCGAAGGCAGUUCACUGGACUGCAACUGACACUGAGGCUCGAAAGUGUGGGUAUCAAACAGGAUUAGAUACCCCUGUAGUC
RNAcentral lists this ribosomal RNA (460 nucleotides) under uncultured bacterium. RNAcentral's name for it is "partial 16S ribosomal RNA". It matches the Rfam family "Bacterial small subunit ribosomal RNA", at positions 338 to 795 of the family's 1533-position model. The record is from RNAcentral.